Molecule: ribosomal RNA, 450 nt
Filed under: uncultured bacterium
Lineage: Bacteria
Description: partial 16S ribosomal RNA
Rfam family: Bacterial small subunit ribosomal RNA
Source: RNAcentral
GUGGGGAAUAUUGGACAAUGGGCGAAAGCCUGAUCCAGCCAUGCCGCGUGUGUGAAGAAGGUCUUCGGAUUGUAAAGCACUUUAAGUUGGGAGGAAGGGCAGUAAGUUAAUACCUUGCUGUUUUGACGUUACCGACAGAAUAAGCACCGGCUAACUUCGUGCCAGCAGCCGCGGUAAUACGAAGGGUGCAAGCGUUAAUCGGCAUUACUGGGCGUAAAGCGCGCGUAGGUGGUUUUGUCAGUUGGAGGUGCACUCCCCGGGCUCAACCUGGGAACGGCCUCCAAAACUGCAUGACUAGAGUACGGUAGAGGGUAGUGGAAUUUCCUGUGUAGCGGUGAAAUGCGUAGAUAUAGGAAGGAACACCAGUGGCGAAGGCGACUACCUGGACUGAUACUGACACUGAGGUGCGAAAGCGUGGGGAGCAAACAGGAUUAGAUACCCUAGUAGUCC